This 253-nucleotide ribosomal RNA is filed under the name Phocaeicola coprocola DSM 17136. RNAcentral describes it as "partial 16S ribosomal RNA". It matches the Rfam family "Bacterial small subunit ribosomal RNA", at positions 524 to 776 of the family's 1533-position model. The record is from RNAcentral. Lineage: Bacteria; Pseudomonadati; Bacteroidota; Bacteroidia; Bacteroidales; Bacteroidaceae.
UACGGAGGAUGCGAGCGUUAUCCGGAUUUAUUGGGCUUAAAGGGAGCGCAGACGGGAGAUUAAGUCAGUUGUGAAAGUUUGCGGCUCAACCGUAAAAUUGCAGUUGAUACUGGUUUCCUUGAGUGCAGUUGAGGCAGGCGGAAUUCGUGGUGUAGCGGUGAAAUGCUUAGAUAUCACGAAGAACCCCGAUUGCGAAGGCAGCUUGCUAAACUGUAACUGACGUUCAUGCUCGAAAGUGUGGGUAUCAAACAGG